GCGUGUAGGCGGCCAGGUAGGUCUGCUGUGAAAACUCGAGGCUUAACCUCGAGCUGUCGGCGGAAACCAUCUGGCUAGAGUCCGGAAGAGGAGAAUGGAAUUCCCGGUGUAGCGGUGAAAUGCGCAGAUAUCGGGAAGAACACCCGUGGCGAAGGCGGUUCUCUGGGACGGUACUGACGCUGAGACGCGAAAGCGUGGGGAGCGAACAGGAUUAGAUACCCUGGUAGUCCACGCCGUAAACGAUGAGUGCUAGGUGUGGGGGGUGUCCACUCCCCUCCGUGCCCAGCUAACGCAUUAAGCACUCCGCCUGGGGAGUACGGCCGCAAGGCUAAAUCUCAAAGGAAUUGACGGGGGCCCGCACAAGCAGCGGAGCAUGUGGUUUAAUUCGGCGCGACGCGAAGAACCUUACCUAGGCUUGACAUGCACGGCAAUUGUCUAGAAAUAUGCAAGCCCUUCAGGGCUCGUGCACAGGUGGUGCAUGGCUGCCGUCAGCUCGUGUCGUGAUAUGUUGGGUUAAGUCCCGCAACGAGCGCUUCCCCUGUCCUAUGUU
Molecule: ribosomal RNA, 550 nt
Filed under: uncultured bacterium
Lineage: Bacteria
Description: bacterial SSU rRNA
Rfam family: Bacterial small subunit ribosomal RNA
Source: RNAcentral